GACGAACGCUGGCGGCGUGCCUAAUACAUGCAAGUAGAACGCUGAAGAGAGGAGCUUGCUCUUCUUGGAUGAGUUGCGAACGGGUGAGUAACGCGUAGGUAACCUGCCUGGUAGCGGGGGAUCACUAUUGGAAACGAUAGCUAAUACCGCAUAAAAUGGAUUAUCGCAUGAUAAUCCAUUGAAAGGUGCAAAUGCAUCACUACCAGACGGACUUGCGUUGUAUUAGCUAGUUGGUGGGGUAACGGCGCACCAAGGCGGCGAUACAUAGCGGACCUGAUAGGGUGAUCGGCCACACUGGGAGUGUGACACGCCCCAGACUCCUACGGGAGGCAGCAGUAGGGAAUCUGCGGCAAUGGACGGAAGUCUGACCGCGCAACGCCGCGUGAGUGAAGAAGGUUUUCGGAUCGUAAAGCUCUGUUGUAAGAGAAGAACGAGUGUUAGAGUGGAAAGUUCACACUGUGACGGUAUCUUACCAGAAAGGGACGGCUAACUACGUG
RNAcentral lists this ribosomal RNA (497 nucleotides) under uncultured bacterium. RNAcentral describes it as "partial 16S ribosomal RNA". It matches the Rfam family "Bacterial small subunit ribosomal RNA", at positions 28 to 507 of the family's 1533-position model. The record is from RNAcentral.